UCCAGACUCCUACGGGAGGCAGCAGUGGGGAAUAUUGCACAAUGGGGGAAACCCUGAUGCAGCGACGCCGCGUGAGUGAAGAAGUAAUUCGUUAUGUAAAGCUCUAUCAGCAGGGAAGAAAAUGACGGUACCUGAGUAAGAAGCCCCGGCUAACUACGUGCCAGCAGCCGCGGUAAUACGUAGGGGGCAAGCGUUAUCCGGAUUUACUGGGUGUAAAGGGAGCGUAGACGGCAGUGCAAGCCUGGAGUGAAAGCCCGGGGCCCAACCCCGGGACUGCUCUGGGAACUGUGCGGCUGGAGUGCGGGAGGGGCAGGCGGAAUUCCUGGUGUAGCGGUGAAAUGCGUAGAUAUCAGGAGGAACACCGGCGGCGAAGGCGGCCUGCUGGACCGCGACUGACGUUGAGGCUCGAAAGCGUGGGGAGCAAACAGGAUUAGAUACCCUUGUACC
RNAcentral lists this ribosomal RNA (447 nucleotides) under uncultured bacterium. Its description in RNAcentral is "bacterial SSU rRNA". It matches the Rfam family "Bacterial small subunit ribosomal RNA", at positions 330 to 794 of the family's 1533-position model. The record is from RNAcentral.